UACAGAGGUCUCAAGCGUUGUUCGGAUUCAUUGGGCGUAAAGGGUGCGUAGGCGGCGCGGUAAGUCGGGUGUGAAAUCUCGGGGCUUAACUCCGAAACUGCAUUCGAUACUGCCGUGCUUGAGGACUGGAAAGGAGACUGGAAUUCAUGGUGUAGCAGUGAAAUGCGUAGAGAUCAUGAGGAAGACCAGUGGCGAAGGCGGGUCUCUGGACAGUUCCUGACACUGAGGCACGAAGGCCAGGGGAGCAAACGGG
RNAcentral lists this ribosomal RNA (253 nucleotides) under uncultured bacterium. RNAcentral's name for it is "partial 16S ribosomal RNA". It matches the Rfam family "Bacterial small subunit ribosomal RNA", at positions 524 to 776 of the family's 1533-position model. The record is from RNAcentral.